CAUUAUUUUAUACCAUUUAAUAAUUACAAUUUAAAUUAUACAAUUAUAUGAUCUUACACAUAUGGUGUGUGCUCUAAGUUACGUAGAUGUAGUAAGUAGGUAUUUAGUUAGACUAUUACGUAUAUUACAUGGAAUGAAGUAACAUUUGAAAAAACGCUAUGCGAAACGUAAUACUUUGAGCUUAAUUUAAAUCGGGAGAAUGUUUUUUUUUUUUUUUUUUUUUGCAAUCUAUCUUUUCCCAUCGAAUCGACUUAAGACUAAAUAUAUCAGUUCUGUUAUCGAUCCUUUUCGAUUCGGUGGAAAAAGUCUUUUUUUUUUUUCUUUAUUUUCAUAUAUAUAUAUUUAUAUUAGGUACCUUAACGUGUUUCACGACACGCGGCGACUUCAACAAAAAAAAAAAAUUUUUUUUCAUAACGAAACAAAUAAAAUACAUUAACACUGGACCAAAUCAUUAUAGCAACAGAUUCACUCUCAAUAAUCGUAAUUACAAUAAAUUUAAUAAUCAUGUCAAUCGUCUUAAUAAUUAUUUAAAUAUUUCUCCAUUCGACAUCCCAAAGAAAAGGAAAAUUUUUCUGAAAAAUAAUAAAUAAAUUUUGUUAUUAAUCAAUGAGAGGAUCUAUCGAGUUUGCGCACAAUUGUUUCAUUUUUUUUUUUGUGCGCAAACUCAUUGAGUUCUCAGUGCUGAUAAUUUAUUAUAUAUGGGUGCGUCUUUGGGGGUGCCGUAUGGAUAUUUAUAACUUCGUCGAUUUCUCGCUAGUCAAUAAUUAUUUACAAUUUAUAAUCCUAUAUAUUUAUAGAUUUUUUUUUUUUUUUUUUUUUUUUUUUUUUCAUCAGCAUCGAUCGUAUACUUAGGAUCCCUGUACGCUUCCGAAUUUGCUUUUUCGAAUAUCGCACGACCUCUCGUUUAAAUUCUAAGCACAGAGCGACGGCAUUUCGUAUCACAAGAUAUAUCCAAUUAUUUCACGCAUGCGAGUGUUAUUAUGCCUCUUGAAUUUUUGCAAUCGUUAAUGGUUAAUUAAUUUUUUUUUUUUUCGAAUUUAUCAACCAAUCGAUUACGCACGCGCAAGAACUUCCGAGACAACCAUCCACUACAAUAAACCUUGGAUUUAACGAUAAAUACUUUUUUUUUACAAUAAACUUUUACAUAGACACCGAGAAAAAAUUUACAUUAAAUUUUAAUUUAAAAAAAAAAAACAAUAAAUUAAUAAACAUGGGUAAUUUGUGAUUUAAAAAAAAAAAUAUAUAUAUAUAAAAUAUUUAACUAAUAAAGAAUUUUUUUUUGAAAUCAAUUUUUUAAUAAUUAAUUUUUUGUUGUUAAAAAUUAAAUUUGGAUAUUUUAAUUCCAAAAAGAAAAAUUUUAUCCAAGUUUCAAUAUCGCGGAUGCAGGUCUCGUGUACUUAUAUUUAACUACCUACAGACUGGUAUAGGAACAAACGCAACUGCUCCUCAGAGACCUGUUGGGUACAUUAUGGUGCAAACUAUUUAUUUACAAAAAAAAAAAAAACUUGUUGGGCUUCAUAGUGCCCACUAUUUUGUCACAAAAAAAAAAAAAAAAAAAAAAAAAACUUGGAAAUAUUGGCGAAUACAUCGAGUUCUUUAUCACGAUACGGAAACCCAUUAACUCUGAAAACGAUAAAAAAAUUAUUUACAAAUCUGCAACUCUUAAUUAUUCAAAUUAUUUAUUUCUAUAUUAUUAUUUUUCUCACCAUUUCGAGGACUUUUAUGAAAUAAAAUUUUUAUUUUACGGAAAAAAAAAAAUUAUUUGUAAUAGCGAAAGAUUUUAUUAAAAUAGUGAAUACCAGUUUUAUUUAAAACAAUUAAAACUUUUUCAUUUAUUUUUUGAUAAUUUAAAAAAUUUAUUUAAUAGCUGCAGAUUAGUUUUCUAUUCAUCGAAUCACUCUUAAUGUCGAAAACACUCAAAAAAUUCACUAAUUAUAUAUAUAUAUAUUUAUAUACUUAUAUAACACAUAGACAUAAAUUGCAUUUAUAAAAUAUACAAUUUUUAAACAACAUUUUUUUUUUUUUUUUGACAACACUUUGUGAUUUUUUUUUUCCUUAACGACAGAUUUAAAAGAAAAAAAAAAAGUCUUUGGGCAUUUCGCGUAUCGCGCUAAAUUAAUUGCCAACUCUCUCCCCCCCCCCCAAAUAACAUUCGAUUUUGGCCAAGAACACUUUGAGCAUUAGCAGGCAUCUUAAAUUCUAAAAGGGCGAUAUUACACACGACGUAUUUUUUUUUUGUUUUUUUUUCGUUAGAAACUAGGUUUCUAUUUCAAUAUUGCAUUGCAUCGAGUUUCAUUCAUUUUUCUUUUAAUAUUUAAAUAUAUAUAAUAUAUAUAAAUCUUUUUCGAUAUAUCUAGCCGAUAAGAUUUGUCCAUUUCUCUCGUUUAUUUUUUUUUUUCUUGCCUUUCGAGCAAAAAUUAAAUUAGACACUCAUUAUUUUAUUUUCUGGAAAGUAAGUACUUUUUUUUUUUUUUGACUUCUAGUUGAGCAAACUUUUAUUUUUCUCAUAUAAGAAUUUACAAUUUAAUUCACCUUUUUGCCAAUUAUCUUUUGAAUAAAAAUCUGUAAAAUUAAAAAAAAAAAUGAGAAUUUAUUUUUUGAAAAUAAAAUUCAUAUUCGAUGAUACCAAAUAAAAAAAAAAAAAUUAGAAAAAAAAGUUUGCUCAUCCAAUAAUAAUUGAUCGAUAUAAAGAGUGUGCAGCUAGAAUUAGCAUAUAAUUAUUUAAUUAGAUCUCAGCUAGUUCCUAAUCUUAAGCUAAAGAUUCGGCUAUCUCGCCCGCAGAGGAAGGCUCUCAGUGAUUGUGGUGAAAAUAAUUUUUUUUUUUUCUUUUUUUUUUUUUCAAAAAUCACUUUAAACGAGAGCCCCUCAGAGCGCGUCCAGUCUAUUAUAGUAGGCGCACGGCACAUUUAUGCAGAAAUUUUGGCUUCCCUUCAACUUCAAAUGGUUAAUUUCUGAAAGAGUACUCUGUCUCGUUCACAAAUCAGGAUCAAAAUUCCGUCACGGGAUGUAUGCAAUUUUAACGAUUAAAUCGCGUUUCGAAACAAAAACAUAAAAUCUUCAAAUCUCAGAAAAUGACAAAUUCCUUAGUCUGCAAAAAAUUACUUUUAUAUUUUUUAAACUGAUUUUAAAAAUAAAUUCUACUUAAAAAAUUAUUAAAUUGAUACAAAUUUUUUUAAGAUUUCGUACAUGGUCAUAACAGUUUCCAUUGCAAUUGUUUCCAUGAUAACCGUUUCCAUAUCAACCGUUAUCAUAACAACAGUCCAUAGCAACCGUUUCCAUAGUAACCGUUACCAUAGCAACUGUUUCCAUGAUAACCGUUUCCAUAGCAACCGUUAUAAUAACAACAGUUUCCAUAGCAACCGUUAGCAUAACAACAGUUUCCAUUGCAAUUGUUUCCAUGAUAACCGUUUCAAUAGGUCCAUAGCAACAGUUUCCAUAGCAACCGUUUCCAUGAUAACCGUUUCCAUAGCAACCGUUAUCAUAACAACAGUUUCCAUAGCAACCGUUACCAUAACAACAGUUUCCAUUGCAAUUGUUUCCAUGAUAACCGUUUCAAUAGGUCCAUAGCAACAGUUUCCAUGAUAACCGUUUCCAUAGCAACCGUUAUCAUAACAACAGUUUCCAUAGCAACCGUUACCAUAACAACAGUUUCCAUUGCAAUUGUUUCCAUGAUAACCGUUUCAAUAGGUCCAUAGCAACAGUUUCCAUAGCAACCGUUUCCAUGAUAACCGUUUCCAUAGCAACCAUAACAACAGUUUCCAUAGUUCCAUGAUAACCGUUUCAAUAGGUCCAUAGCAACAGUUUCCAUGAUAACCGUUUCCAUAUCAACCGUUAUCAUAACAACACUCCAUAGCAACCGUUUCCAUAGUAACCGUUACCAUAGCAACUGUUUCCAUGAUAACCGUUUUCAUAUGGCAACCGUUUCAAUAGGUCCAUAGCAACGGUUUCCAUAGUAACCGUUACCAUAGCAAUUUUUUUACAUAACAACCUUUAUCAUAGCAACCGUUUGAAUAGGUCCAUAGCAAUAGUUUCCAUAGCAACUAAUUUUUAAUCUGAAUUUUAAAAGUCACGAAACCCUAUAGAUGAAGAAAUUAUUUUCGUUACAUAUUUUUUUUUUUUUUUUUUUUGUAAAAAAUUGAA
Molecule: long non-coding RNA, 4140 nt
Organism: Leptopilina boulardi
Lineage: Eukaryota; Metazoa; Arthropoda; Insecta; Hymenoptera; Figitidae
Exons: 2
Source: RefSeq, a predicted model, not a curated record